This is a long non-coding RNA of Centruroides sculpturatus (bark scorpion), 238 nucleotides long. RefSeq lists it as uncharacterized. Lineage: Eukaryota; Metazoa; Arthropoda; Arachnida; Scorpiones; Buthidae. The record is from RefSeq and is a predicted model, not a curated record. The transcript is spliced from 3 exons.
UGGUAUUUUAUUAAUUAUUAAAAUAUAUUUACUACUCAUUAUAAAUCAAAUUUAGCCAUGUAAUUAUGAAAAUAUAAGAAAUAUUUUACUGUUUAAGAUGACAAUGAAAACUCUUACGUGGUGAAGGUAGCAGUGAAACCCCAGUUUAAACACCUUCCUCACGAUCAAAUCUUGAAAGAAUUUAAACUCUUUAACAUCAUUUACAAAAAGUUAAAGUUUAGAUAUAAAAUAGUGGAAC